CCUAACACAUGCAAGUCGAACGAAGUAGCAAUACUUAGUGGCAGACGGGUGAGUAACAUGUAGGUAUCUACCCUUUGGCCUGGAAUAACACGAGGAAACUUGUGCUAAUACCAGAUAAGUCUUUACGGAGAAAGCUUUAUGCACCAUUGGAUGAGCCUGCACUUGAUUAGUUUGUUGGUGGGGUAAUGGCCUACCAAGACUUUGAUCAAUAGCUGAUUUGAGAGGAUGAUCAGCCACAUUGGGACUGAGACACGGCCCAAACUCCUACGGGAGGCAGCAGUGGGGAAUCUUGCACAAUGGAGGAAACUCUGAUGCAGCGAUGCCGCGUGAGUGAAGAAGGCCCUUGGGUUGUAAAGCUCUUUCGUCGGGGAAGAAAAUGACUGUACCCGAAUAAGAAGGUCCGGCUAACUUCGUGCCAGCAGCCGCGGUAAUACGAAGGGACCUAGCGUAGUUCGGAAUUACUGGGCUUAAAGAGUUCGUAGGUGGUUGAAAAAGUUGGUGGUGAAAUCCCAGAGCUUAACUCUGGAACUGCCAUCAAAACUUUUCAGCUAGAGUUUGAUAGAGGAAAGCAGAAUUUCUAGUGUAGAGGUGAAAUUCGUAGAUAUUAGAAAGAAUACCAAUUGCGAAGGCAGCUUUCUGGAUCAUUACUGACACUGA
RNAcentral lists this ribosomal RNA (657 nucleotides) under uncultured marine bacterium. RNAcentral describes it as "bacterial SSU rRNA". It matches the Rfam family "Bacterial small subunit ribosomal RNA", at positions 47 to 749 of the family's 1533-position model. The record is from RNAcentral.